This 917-nucleotide long non-coding RNA is filed under the name Coffea arabica (coffee). RNAcentral's name for it is "long non-coding RNA (CARA_LNC003302)". The record is from RNAcentral. Lineage: Eukaryota; Viridiplantae; Streptophyta; Magnoliopsida; Gentianales; Rubiaceae.
UAAACACAAAAUCCAGAACUUGCAUAUUAACUAAAUUUGGAAUCAAGUACAAAAGAUAAAGAAUUGGAGAAGAGAUAACCCAUGUCACAUGAGCUUCAACUCCUCCUUCUUCAUCUCAAUCUUCAUCCUAAUCUAGCAAUAUACAAGAGUGGAUGCACUAACUAGCUAAACUAUACUACACUAAUCUAAUACUAAGAGAAUGGAAAAACUACAUUUCUGCACUUCCAAUCUUACACCCGUUGUAUGAUUCCUAGACCUCAAAUGUCUCUGCAUAUAAGCUGAUGAAAAGUCCUUCCCUUACCAGUCAAAAAUUUCUGCUAUGAUUCUCCAAAUCUGAAUUUGUUAAGGGAGUAAAAAAUAAUGGCUUUUGACUUGGAACCUUGGCUAUAUCUCUUCCUUAUGUCUUCUGAAGCAUGUGCAGCCUACGUUUUCUCUCCAACUCUAGCUGGAAAGUAGUGUGAAGAUGAGAAAAAUGGCUGAGCAAAUUACAGAAAUUCGGCUGCCAGACACGUUUUUACUUUUGACCUCACUUCAACUGCAUUUUUCUCCAUGAUGAAGGCCGAACUGGCUUUUGUGCAAAACACAAAAGUUGUAGCCCUUUGAAUUAGAGUUCCAAUGCUUCAAGAAUCAUCUAAUUUGGAGAUCGGUGGACGGAGAUAUGGUCAAAAUACCAUAGACUGGUCAAUUCUGGGCUUCAGCUUUCGACCAUCCAGAUAAUUUUCUGUGUUUCGACCUUUUGACCAAGAAAACGGCUGAAUUGGACUUUGAUGUCUUCAUACCAAAUGCAGAUAUAUCUCUUAGCUUCAAAAUGGUACCAAGAUCACCUUGAUCCGAUCAUUUUAGCUCCUGAUAUAGUCAAAAUACGAAAAUGUGUCUGAGUUGUCAAAGCUGACUUUUCCUUGAUUCUUUUUGUUCUC